CCUACGGGAGGCUGCAGUGGGGAAUAUUGGACAAUGGGCGAAAGCCUGAUCCAGCCAUGCCGCGUGUGUGAAGAAGGCCUUCGGGUUGUAAAGCACUUUCAGUGGGGCAGAAAGCCUUGGGGCUAAUACCCUCGAGGAAGGACAUCACCCACAGAAGAAGCACCGGCUAACUCCGUGCCAGCAGCCGCGGUAAUACGGAGGGUGCGAGCGUUAAUCGGAAUUACUGGGCGUAAAGCGCGCGUAGGCGGUCUGAUAAGCCGGUUGUGAAAGCCCCGGGCUCAACCUGGGAACGGCAUCCGGAACUGGCAGGCUAGAGUGCAGGAGAGGAAGGUAGAAUUCCCGGUGUAGCGGUGAAAUGCGUAGAGAUCGGGAGGAAUACCAGUGGCGAAGGCGGCCUUCUGGACUGACACUGACGCUGAGGUGCGAAAGCGUGGGUAGCAAACAGGAUUAGAUACCCCAGUAGUC
RNAcentral lists this ribosomal RNA (465 nucleotides) under Vreelandella stevensii. RNAcentral describes it as "partial 16S ribosomal RNA". It matches the Rfam family "Bacterial small subunit ribosomal RNA", at positions 338 to 795 of the family's 1533-position model. The record is from RNAcentral. Lineage: Bacteria; Pseudomonadati; Pseudomonadota; Gammaproteobacteria; Oceanospirillales; Halomonadaceae.